AGCUGAGAGGACUAUGCUGCUGAGGCAUGACAUCAAUGUCGAUGGGACACACCUGUAGCCCUGACGCCCCACAGCCUGUCCAGGAGGCACUGUUCCCGUCCACUCCACGCCUACCAGUUAGUUCACUGGUCUUCACCAUUAGUGAUUUAAGGAGCAUGCAAUGGUGGGAGAGUCAACCCUGGGACCCCUUCCAUCACAGAGGGAGAACUGUGGUGUUGUGUCCACAGGCCAAUGAUUUCUUCUAUAAACAUCUUCUUUGCAUGUCUGUGGUGAGACUUGAAGUAAUGUGUUGUUGUUUAGGGCCAUCCUCAGAGCCAAACUGCCUCCAUCUUCAUCAGAUCAGCUGUGCCUGUUUGCAAGAGAUCAGCAUGGCUGGCCUUGUUGACCUUUGACCUUCUUUUAUAUAAGGGGUACAGAGUUGUGGGAUCCUGAGUAUCCAGCCACCCCUCCCAACCAGUUGUGUGAAGCCUAAUGAAAUUCUAAUUGCUUGACGCCUCAGGGAGCGCGUGACAGCUGAUCUUGGCUGUCAACUUGAAUAUACCUAUAAUCAACUAUAACCCAAGCGGCUGGUCUCUGAGGAGUUUUCAAGACGGAAUCAUUUGUGAUCAGAAGACUCAGAUGCUAAAUCUGGGCCACACCUUCUGCUGGCAGCCCACAUAAAAGGCCAUGGAAGAAGGAAGCUUUUGCUUUUUGCCUGCUUGCCCUCACUCUUGCUGGCAAGUUCAUCUGUCCUGCUGCUGUGGCAUUCUUUCACUGGUGUUACAUCCUACUUCUUUGUGAUUGAGGACCAGCUAAGAUAUCCAGCCACGUGGACUGAACUAGAUUCUUGGCCUUUCUGUGAAGAGACAGACAGCCAUUGUUGGACUGG
This is a non-coding RNA of Peromyscus maniculatus bairdii (prairie deer mouse), 868 nucleotides long. The record is from RefSeq and is a predicted model, not a curated record. NCBI's taxonomy places the organism in Eukaryota, Metazoa, Chordata, Mammalia, Rodentia, Cricetidae.